This 73-nucleotide transfer RNA is filed under the name Stegodyphus mimosarum. It matches the Rfam family "tRNA". Rfam says of the family: Transfer RNA (tRNA) molecules are approximately 80 nucleotides in length. Their secondary structure includes four short double-helical elements and three loops (D, anti-codon, and T loops). The record is from Rfam by way of RNAcentral. Lineage: Eukaryota; Metazoa; Arthropoda; Arachnida; Araneae; Eresidae.
GCCUUCGUGGUGCAGUGGUCAGCGCACUUCACGCGUAACCGAGAGGUCCGUGGUUCGAGUCCCGGCGAAGGUG